GGCCCCUUCGUCUAGUGGUUUAGGACAUCGCCCUUUCACGGCGGCAACACGGGUUCGAAUCCCGUAGGGGUCACCA
This 76-nucleotide transfer RNA is filed under the name Alphaproteobacteria bacterium. RNAcentral's name for it is "tRNA-Glu". It matches the Rfam family "tRNA". From Rfam's summary of the family: Transfer RNA (tRNA) molecules are approximately 80 nucleotides in length. Their secondary structure includes four short double-helical elements and three loops (D, anti-codon, and T loops). The record is from RNAcentral. RNAcentral also lists the same sequence under 3 other names. Lineage: Bacteria; Pseudomonadati; Pseudomonadota; Alphaproteobacteria.